ACGUAGGGGGCAAGCGUUGUUCGGAAUUACUGGGCGUAAAGGGCAUGUAGGCGGCCUUGUAAGCUUGGCGUGAAAGUCCACGGCUUAACCGUGGGAUUGCGUUGAGAACUGCGAGGCUUGAGUGACGGAGAGGGAGCUAGAAUUCCUGGUGGAGGGGUGGAAUGUGUAGAUAUCAGGAGGAAUACCAAUGGCGAGGGCAAGCUCCAGGGCGAUGACCGACGCUGAGGUGCGAAAGUGUGGGGAUGAAACAG
Molecule: ribosomal RNA, 251 nt
Filed under: uncultured prokaryote
Description: partial 16S rRNA
Rfam family: Bacterial small subunit ribosomal RNA
Source: RNAcentral